UUUAGAUCCACCGUAAACUGCUGAAAGUCCCCGUCGCGCCGUCACAAGCUUUUCCGGUGACAAGGACACCGUCAGGCAAUUGUAUUUUGAGAGAUCGGCUUUAGAUGUUGAGUGUUGAGAAUAAAGUGCAAUGUGAGGAGAUUGAAUUAGUAGAUAAAGGUGAUGACUCCAUUCCGAAUUCUUUGUUUGGAGCGAUUAAACGAUGUUUUGUUGACAGGAUUAACAGUGAAGUGUAUGAGAAUGUGGCUGGGAACUUGGUUUUGAGGUAGAUUUUCGGGAUUAGUUUUAAUGGUCCUUUUUUGGCUGCCAAAGGAGGUUGGUUCAUCAUUUAUAGUGCUUGAAUCAUCUUUGGUUAGAGACCCUGUUGUUAUAAAAUCUUCUGGGACGUUAAUUCAGGGAAUAAAGGUCAAGUUUGGUUCUGCAGAAAGUGGGCUCGGUUGUGUCAUCAACUUCAAGGAGGUUUUAUCUUACUAAUGAUGUUGAGUCACAGAUGGUGAGAUCGUUAUCUUUAGAUGUGGUUUUGUCAGGGUUGGAUUUGUCAUCAAUUCUAAUUUGGAUUCGUCAAAGGAGUUUUAGUUGCGGGGCAGUUAUUUGAUUCCGUUAUUUGCACAGCCCAUUUAUCCAUUACUCUUGGUUUUGCAUGAUAUAUUUGCCGAUCUCCCAUCAAUGUUAAGAGCUCUUGCCCUUGCAGAAAAGAUGCUUUUUGAUGUGAACAGAGGAGAAGUUGUGGAUACUCAAGUUAUUUUUUAAGUUUCACUUUUAACAAUGCUGGUCGGCUACCUAUCAAUAAAUUAAGGGAUUCUAACUCAUCUAAUAUUGAUUUUUCUGAGCUUCCACUUGAGGAUAAAUCACAAGCACUCCUUGCACAGUCUCUCCAAAGUCAAGCUAAGAAGUUCAAGACUAUGGUAGCAGUAGUGGGUGCUAGUUACUUAGCUGGGCUUUCAGAACAUUGGAAUACUCCUAUUCCUGAUAAGGUCAAAGAUUUGAUUGGAGAGUCAGUUACAAGCUGCAAAGAUGAUGGGGAUAUUUCAAAUCACAUGGAUAAGAAGCGUUUAUUAUCUAAUAAACUUGUCAUGGCUGUGGGUGCUGGAGCAAUUGUUGUUUUAGGAGCUUCAUCUCUCACUAAACUUCUUCCUGCAUCAACCUUCAUAAAGGUUGUGAGGUUUAAAGCUUCUAUUUCACUUAAGUUUUUCUUACCCAAUUCCAAAAAACAAUGGUGAUAGCUUUAGGCAAGACUCGAGUUUUUGCCCCAGGACAAGCAACUUUUGGGUCAAAUACAUAUAUCUUAAAGACAGUAACUUCUGCUGAGAAAAUUCGGGGCAAUGGCCCACCAUGUUGCAGCAUCUGUUAAGAAGACCAGUUUUCAACAAUUAGAACAGCAUUUUAUGAAAUAGUGAGAAAAAGGCGGGUACCUCCAAUCAGUGUCCUACCAUGGGCUACAUUUGCAGGUAGUAUUGUAACUUGUGCUGAUUGCUUGUGUAUGGAGAUGGGGUUGAAUGUGUUGCUGAAUCUUCGCCCAUAGCUCCUUCAAUUCCCAAUUAAGAGCGUGAGAUUCAAUAUCUACAUGAGGCAUCUCAGAAAAUGAAUCAAGACAGAUGACACCAUGAUUAAAAAAUCUAUUAAAUCAUCGACGUACAUGUUGAAGAAAUUAUAGAUUGAAUAAAGUAAGACUUCAAUUAUUUUCUUAUCAAUGAAUAGUAUUUAUAGUUCUACUCAUUGAUUAUUUUAAAAAGUUCCAUAAAUUAAAGAUGACAGAUUCUUAUGCACAAAUUGAGUCUGGGCAGCAUCGAUUGUAUCAUCAUGGGUGUUUAAGUUCUAAUCAUAGAGUUCUUUUGGUGCACCAAUGAGUACUCCAAUGUUUUUAGAC
Long non-coding RNA from Pistacia vera, 1867 nucleotides. RefSeq lists it as uncharacterized. The record is from RefSeq and is a predicted model, not a curated record. The transcript is spliced from 2 exons. NCBI's taxonomy places the organism in Eukaryota, Viridiplantae, Streptophyta, Magnoliopsida, Sapindales, Anacardiaceae.